RNAcentral lists this ribosomal RNA (253 nucleotides) under uncultured bacterium. RNAcentral's name for it is "partial 16S ribosomal RNA". It matches the Rfam family "Bacterial small subunit ribosomal RNA", at positions 524 to 776 of the family's 1533-position model. The record is from RNAcentral.
UACGGAGGGUGCAAGCGUUGUUCGGAAUUAUUGGGCGUAAAGCGCGUGUAGGUGGUUGGGUAAGUCAGAUGUGAAAGCCCUCAGCUUAACUGGGGAAGUGCAUUUGAAACUGCUUGGCUAGAGUCCGGGAGAGGAGAGUGGAAUUCCCGGUGUAGAGGUGAAAUUCGUAGAUAUCGGGAGGAACACCAGUGGCGAAGGCGGCUCUCUGGCCCGAUACUGACACUGAGACGCGAAAGCGUGGGUAGCAAACAGG